RNAcentral lists this ribosomal RNA (319 nucleotides) under uncultured eukaryote. Its description in RNAcentral is "partial 18S ribosomal RNA". It matches the Rfam family "Eukaryotic small subunit ribosomal RNA", at positions 1470 to 1796 of the family's 1831-position model. The record is from RNAcentral.
CCCUUAGAUGAUUUGGGCUGCACGCGCGCUACACUGACCCUAACAAUGAGCAACUGUCUGGCCUGAGAUGGCUGGGUAGCCUUUUCAACCCAUGUCAUGAUUGGGCUAGAUUUUUGUAAGUCUUGAUCUCUAACGAGGAAUCCCUAGUAUGCGUGAAUCAUCAAUCAAUGCAGAUUAUGUCCCUGCCCUUUGUACACACCGCCCGCCGCUCCUACUGAUUGGGUGAUCCGGUGAGCUGUUCGGCCAUAGCAAUGUUUCUUGAGCAGGGCAAUGAAUGUUUCGCAAACCUUGCCACUUAGAGGAAGGAGAAGUCGUAACA